AAUGGCAACUCAGUCAGAGAGCUGGACCCUGUACAAAUGUCCAGCUGGAUGGAUAAACCCUGAAAGAACAGUCUGCCAGAAAAACAACAGUCAAAACAGGUUUGUCAUAAAGGAGGAGAUGUCUUUGUGGUUCAGAUCUUAGUUAUGUGAGAAGACACCUUUUCUCCCCUGUGCAAUCUGCAGCUGUUGAGGUAGCCUGCCAAGGGAGCGAUCACUGACUUGAACCCUCUUGAAACCAUCUGAUCAUGCACCUGAUCUUCACCCAUGCAAGUGGCUUCUUCUGAUGGUUGGGUAUAUUCCACAUCGCAUCAGAGUGCCUGAGAGCUACAGGCUGUGCUCAGAUUCUGAUGGCACC
Molecule: long non-coding RNA, 355 nt
Filed under: Zonotrichia albicollis (white-throated sparrow)
Lineage: Eukaryota; Metazoa; Chordata; Aves; Passeriformes; Passerellidae
Description: lncRNA (ENSZALG00000008950.1)
Source: RNAcentral